UAUAGCGGCGAGAGCACGUUGAAUGCCCCGGUCCCCAAUGGUUCACUGAAGGUAAGUAACGUUGCAAGUGGUUGGUAUUCGGAUGGGUGACCAUCUAGGCAAUUGCUUUUCCCUUUCC
This 118-nucleotide ribosomal RNA is filed under the name Diaphorina citri (Asian citrus psyllid). Lineage: Eukaryota; Metazoa; Arthropoda; Insecta; Hemiptera; Psyllidae. The record is from RNAcentral.